RNAcentral lists this long non-coding RNA (300 nucleotides) under Amborella trichopoda. Its description in RNAcentral is "long non-coding RNA (ATRI_LNC003160)". The record is from RNAcentral. Lineage: Eukaryota; Viridiplantae; Streptophyta; Magnoliopsida; Amborellales; Amborellaceae.
CUAUUCCUCCCCUUCCUCCAAGUCAUCCCAAUACUUACUCCCAUCAACAAGUUCCUCCUGCAAUCAAAAGAAAAUGCAUAAUGAGACAACAAUGAUAUCACCAUCAUUAAGAAAACUAAAAAAGUCAUAGUAACCUGGAAAGUCAUUUUCUAACAAAGGAAGAUUUAAUUGCCCGCGCAUGAAGUUUAUUAUAAUAACACAAAGGAUUUAUUCUAUUAAUUCAAUAAAUUAAGUGAAAAUGGAUAGGGAAAGCUUUCUCUGUAACCCAAACAACAUAGAAGUUAUACGUGACCCCAUUUC